GCGAUGGUAGUGUAGUGGUUAGCAUCCCGACUUCCCAAGUCGGUGACCCGAGUUCGAAUCUCGGCCUUCGCA
This 72-nucleotide transfer RNA is filed under the name Aspergillus terreus. RNAcentral's name for it is "tRNA-Gly". It matches the Rfam family "tRNA". Rfam says of the family: Transfer RNA (tRNA) molecules are approximately 80 nucleotides in length. Their secondary structure includes four short double-helical elements and three loops (D, anti-codon, and T loops). Lineage: Eukaryota; Fungi; Ascomycota; Eurotiomycetes; Eurotiales; Aspergillaceae. RNAcentral also lists the same sequence under 1 other name. The record is from RNAcentral.